Molecule: long non-coding RNA, 736 nt
Organism: Salvia splendens (bonfire salvia)
Lineage: Eukaryota; Viridiplantae; Streptophyta; Magnoliopsida; Lamiales; Lamiaceae
Exons: 3
Source: RefSeq, a predicted model, not a curated record
CUAGCCUUUAUAUUUCUUUUAGUUGGGACUAUAAUUUGGAGAAGCCCAAAAUAAUUAUUAUUUCUUCCAAUCAAAAUCCCCACGGUUUCCCUUCUCCUAAUUUCAUUUUACACGAUUUCUUCAUCAAAAUCCCCAUUCCCCAAUAAUCUCUCCAACAAACUGAUCAAAUCUCUACAUUAUAUAUCUCUCCCCACAACCGCAUCUUUUAUCAGCGCCGUUUCAUAAUCCCAGUGCAGCUUUUCUUCUCUUCUGCCAAGUGGGAAGGAGAAACUGAGAGAGCUGUGAUUACCGUCUGUUUCUGCAAGUUUUGCUUCUUCCAGAAGAUUGAGCGGCGACGGACGUGGAGGAUGUUGAGCAGAAUUCAUGGAUAAUUAUGUUUGGUUUGGUAUUGUUGGAUAUGUCGUGUCUUCAUAUUCUGCAUUAUCCAUGUCUUGAAUGCUUCCGCAAAAUAGUCUUUUUUAUUAUUAGAACUUUCUUAUCGUUGAGAGUCUAACUCUUUUUAAAAUUGUUUAGUGUCUAGUCUUUAAUUUCCUUAGAGUUGGUACUUCGUUGAGAUAAUACUAUGUCGUUUUUUUCAAGUUAUUUCAGUUAAUUAAAUAUUUUGGUCAAAGACGUAUGUUUCCCUUUCUUCACUGCUUCUUUAAACCCUCCCCUAGUCGCGAUCGACCGUGUUUCAUCUAUAGCUUCUACAAAUGUAUAUGACUUUUUUUCUGUAUACAAUAGUGCAUUUUUCGUA